UACAGAGGGGGCGAGCGUUAUUCGGAAUUAUUGGGCGUAAAGGGCGCGUAGGUGGCUUGACAAGUCAAAGGUGAAAUCCCUCGGCUCAACCGAGGAAUGGCCUUUGAAACUGUCGAGCUAGAGGCCGGGAGAGGGUAGUGGAAUUCCCAGUGUAGCGGUGAAAUGCGUAGAUAUUGGGAGGAACACCAGUGGCGAAGGCGGCUACCUGGACCGGUUCUGACGCUGAGGCGCGAAAGCGUGGGGAGCAAACAGG
This 253-nucleotide ribosomal RNA is filed under the name uncultured bacterium. RNAcentral's name for it is "partial 16S ribosomal RNA". It matches the Rfam family "Bacterial small subunit ribosomal RNA", at positions 524 to 776 of the family's 1533-position model. The record is from RNAcentral.